This is a non-coding RNA of Mus caroli (Ryukyu mouse), 873 nucleotides long. Lineage: Eukaryota; Metazoa; Chordata; Mammalia; Rodentia; Muridae. The record is from RefSeq and is a predicted model, not a curated record.
ACGGAUUCUUGCAAGUUGUCCUCUGGCCUUCUCCAUAACAGCUCUGUGGCAUACUGAGCUGCGCACACGCAUGUGGAGACACACAGCUGGAGAUGUGAACUCCCAUCUGCUGCUGCCACCGCUGCCACCACCAUGUCUGCCGCCACCACCAUGUCUGCCGCCUCCACCAUGUCUGCCACCACCAUGUCUGCCGCCACCACCAUGUCUGCCGCCACCACCAUGUCUGCCGCCUCCACCAUGUCUGCCACCACUGUAUCUGCCACCACCACCAUGUCUGCUGCCACCCCCAUGUCUGCCGAUGCCACCACCAUGUCUGCCACCACCAUGUCUGCAGCCUGGUGCUACAGUUCCCUGCCAUGGUGGAUUUUUACCCCCCUGGAACCAUUAGCUCAAAUAAAUCCUUUCCUCAUGUGAGUAUCGGAACGUGGUCAGAAGAACGACGCAUGGUGAACGGUGCCUUGGGGAGCCCUGAGAGAGGCUCCAGUAAAAAAGGCAGAGGGUGUUUUACCUCGGGUGCAUUUUGUUUCCUGAAUUGUUCUUGGACGUGAUUUCAUGCCUCCUGCAACAAACAUUUACAUUCAGUUUGUAAGACAUGUUUAUUCUUGUUGGAUAUCAGAGCAUAGCUAUAGAGCCCAGUCUGGUCAGUGUACCCACAUCUGCAUGUGGAUGUCUACCUUGCUUUUGUGCUUUCCCAGAUAUAACCCAUAGCACGUGCCAAGCAACUGUGGCUAAAUGGGAUGGUCCUGCGAACGUUCUGGGGAAGAGCUGCUGUGUUUACAUGUUCCUCUGAUCGUGUCUUUCUGAAGGUGAACAACCACCCUGAGAUCAGUGCUUUCUUAGUUACACUGAUGAAUAAAAGCACAGUUAACCUAA